RNAcentral lists this long non-coding RNA (2903 nucleotides) under Equus caballus (horse). RNAcentral describes it as "lncRNA (ENSECAG00000055454.1)". The record is from RNAcentral. Lineage: Eukaryota; Metazoa; Chordata; Mammalia; Perissodactyla; Equidae.
AUAUUCAGAAAGGACUCUUACUACUUGGGCUCUUUCAUGCAAGUGCAGUCAAGUGUUGGCUUGUGCUGCAGAAUUAUGAAAGCUUGACAGGCUGGACAUGCAAAAUAGCUCAUGUACAAGACUGGUAGUUAUUGUCCGUCUUCAGCUGGGAGAUCAUCUAGGUUGUUGAACUGGAGUGCCUAUACGUGGCCUUUCCAUUAUAUUGGUCUCAGGGUAGUUAGACAUUUACACAAAGACUCAGGGAUCCAAAAGUGAGUGUCCCAGCUCAUGAGAUGAAGGCUUCAUUAUCUUUUAUGACUUAACCUUAGAAGUCACAUGACAUCAUAUCUGCCACAUUCUGUUGGUUCCAUGUAAUCCACAUUCCUGCCCAGAUUCAAGGGAAGGGAAAUUGGACUCAACUUCUUGAUGGUGGAGGAGCAAGGCCAAGGAAAAGGAUGUGGGACGAAAGUAUUGAAAUCAGUUUUGGGAAGUGUAACCUGCCUCAAAUAUAACAUGAGAUCAGAAUCUUUAGAUGAGCCAAGAGGUGCCAAAAGAAGCCACACUGAAUGUAUAACUGAAGAAGGGAGCUGGGACUCCAAGAAAAAUACACAAGGGCAAAGUGGAAGCUGAGCCAGGAGGAUGGCUGAGGCUUCCCUGUAGGUGUUUUAUCUUUCAGAAAGUACGUGAACACCGACAGGUCAAGAGAUCCUCUUUGUCUUCCAUUUCCAGUCACAUCUGAGGAUCUGACCAAGAGGACUUUAAGUCAAGCAUUGAGACAAAGGAGAAAAACCAAUUUUUUUUUAUCACUAGUAGAUUUGACAGAAAACAUUGAUUAAGUUUGGUACCUACAAAUUAGAGCAAAGAUUGUGUCUCCCUGAAUACUCUGGAGAUUAAUAAAGAGAACUGAGUAGAUCCUUCACCAAGUGACCAGUGACAUAUGACUCUGAGCAGAAGGAGAGAAGAUAAGGCUUGUGACAAAGCAGCCCAAUCAUGAUGAUAUGAUUUCGUUUGUGUUUUAUUUUCAGAAGCUGUCCUACUAGGAAGCAUUUCAACACUCUCUGAAGACUCUCAGUUUCUCCACUAUGGGAGGGGUUGUUUUGGGUAAUGAUUCAGAGAUCCUCCACUGGGUCACUGCACAGGCCAGAAUAGAAAUUUCCCGAGGGAACCUUUACUCCUACAAGUGGAGAUGAAAAGUGAGGUUUAAAGACCAUAAAAUGAGUGAAAUUAAUGUCUGUUUGAGUGAGACACUGUUUUGGACAUCCUACUGUCUCUUUUUAUCUUCAAAACAAUCCUGAAAUUUUAAUAGUAUUAUUCUCCCUUGAUAGAUGAGUAUGUACUCAUCUUUAAAGGAUAAAUUCUAAUUAAAGUUCUUAUGGUUAGUGUACUGUAAGUCAUAACUUUAAAAAAGGUGCGUCAAAUGCCAGAGAUCUCCCUCCAUACUCCUCUUUAGUGCUUUUUAGGAUCCCAGUGAACUUCAGAGGAAAUUAUUCCCCAUUAAUAUUUUUUUUCUUGGUCUUCUAUAAAGGGCUAUGUUGAUUUUCUUUAACUUGUAGAGGAAACCUCAACAUAAAGAAAAAUAAAGCCUGUGGCAGAAGAGAAGCUAUAGACAUUUCCCCAUUGUACUCAUGCUGAGAUCCAAAGCUGGAAAGUCACUCCCUGUAGUCAGAGCAGGGGCCUUCCUUCUCGGGGGAGGCGGCAAGUCAUUCGCAGGCCAGAGAUGAUGUUACGUGGAACAACCAAUGAAACAGUCAGACCGCUACACUUCCUUCUCAGAAUGCCCCAUCCCGGACUGGCCACUGCUCACAAAGCAAGAGGAUGAGACUGACGUCCAGAGAAGCCCUCAGUCAUUAUAAGAGCCACAGGAAAGGGAUCCCUAACCAUCAAAGUCUUUACUAGGAUCAUAAAAAGAUGAUCUGAUCUCCAGUGCCUACCAGGGAGGAAUAAUGGCACAGCACAGAGGGGCAGGAUGGAGACUGCAUCCUAACCAGGGCCCAACGUGUUUGUCAUCCCACCUGAUGAGAUGAAGCUGAAAUAUUAAAUAGAGCAUAUUUCUGAAUAUCUUUGGCUAGCAGUUGUGUUACUAAGUAACAGUUUUUAAGGUCACAGACUCAAAUGACCACAAGAAAUAGGAUGAGAAUAAGACACUAGGGAGUGGUGGGGACUUUGGUCAACUGGAUAACACAGGUUAGUGUGAAGUCUAGCAAUUAGCUAUUCAAUUCUGGCAAAUUGUUCCCACGUUAAAAUCUGGGGCCAAUGUUACCAGAUCUUUCAAGGUUUAGGAAAAGUGUAUCCAGAAUUUAAAUGGCACAUCCUGUUUUUAAAACUUAUUGUGUAAUUUUGUUGAAACACUGUGUAAAUAGAACAUAGCACCUCUGCAGUGCUGGACCUGUCCUGGGGGUUACCAUUUGUACGCUGGAGCUUUGCGAAGAUAAUAGUUAGGCAUGGUGGUCCUCCUGUUCACUCUAAUCCAGUCUCAUUUUCUGUGGGACUCUAGGUCCACUGGUAAGAAUAGCAACAAAGUGAGUUUUAUACACAACAAAUGAGAUUGUGAAUAGAUGACCCGGCUGUAAGCUCCUUAGAUACUAGAAUAAUGUGACAGAUUCUCAUCCCUGGACAUAGCUUUAUGUGACUAUGAUGUUUCAUUGCUGGGGCUUCAGGGACCAACCCAUCUUGCAAGAUCUGAGCAUCCACAGAAUCUUUGCUUCAGAAUUUACAAACAGCCACGUAUGAUGAGCACAGUCUAGCAUGUUCUCUGUAUUCUUGGCCUAGUCUGAUAAAAUCCCCAUGUCCAUCAGCCAGGGCUAUAAUUGCAACUGACAGAUGAUCCAGCUUUAAAGACAGGACCUUUCACGACCUGGAGAGGAUGCGGCAGAUGCUCCAUGCAGGGACAGCUGCCCAGGAGGCAAAGUUUAGAAAUCACACCU